This is a long non-coding RNA of Acinonyx jubatus (cheetah), 1547 nucleotides long. RefSeq lists it as uncharacterized. Lineage: Eukaryota; Metazoa; Chordata; Mammalia; Carnivora; Felidae. The record is from RefSeq and is a predicted model, not a curated record. The transcript has 3 exons.
CGCCCUCGCCGCGCUCCCCGGGCCGGGUCCCGCUCCCCCUGCGGCCCGGCGGGCGCGGGCCGGCUCUCCGGCGGUGCUCUUGCCUGUGCCUGUGGCUGCUCCGUGGGCUCGGCUGAGCGUCCUCGCCGGUGGGCUGCGCUCUCCUUCCGCUGGGACCUGGAGGGCUCUGGCCAAGUUCGGUCGGAUGCCCGACGUGAAUCUUGUACGCGGGGUGCCGGCCGUUCACGCUCCGCGAAGUGACUUCGAGCGCCGCUCGUGCGGCGCUGGGCUGCCUCGCGGAGGGCAGAGUGUCGGGCGCUUCUUCGGGGCCCUCGGGCCGGGGUCGGUGCCCAGCGGGCCAGCCCCUCCCGGGCUCCCGGGGGUCCCCUGCGGGGCGCAGUUGAGUCCUCGCGCCGCUCCAGUUGUGGCCUGGACACCUCCGCUCGCUUUGUUUCCCUUUUCUUAACGAUGACAGUCGAGUGCCCGAAAACCGUCGUUGGUUACAUUUUGUCUGAUCUUUUACUUGUUGGAGAAACAAGAGAAGACCUGUCAUCGGGUGGGAGCUGCCACUGCGGGGCCAGUCCGUGAACCUCAGAGAAGGAUCACAUAGGAAACCGCAGAGACCUGGACAGAGUCCCAGCCCUGGCGACGUAGUUUACGCCCGGAAGCCAGCCUUAGCAAAGGUAAUCUGGAAGCAAAUGUUUCUGUGGACACUCGAGGGCUGUUUCCACCACUGCUGAAACCCUCUGGGAGUUUCCACGGUGAAGUGUCCAUUCGUUUCUUCCUGAUUUGUGCUCAAUUUCUUAGUUAUGAGUCUGUAGGUAGCAGCAGUCUUGCAUACUGGUUAUACUUCUUAUUCAUAUUCAAUCCUAUUAUAAUAACUGUCACUGGCUUUUUAUGACCCUCAAAUGAGUAUCUUUAAGUACAGCAGGUGUGUGAUUUUAUAACGUAUCAUCACGCUUUGUGCACACAGCGAUGCAAACAGUUGAAUCCUGAAAGGGUCCAGCUGCCUCCGUUGUGAGUGUCCUAUUGUGAGCACCUUGAAAUGCUUUAUUACUCUUAAAAUACUUAUUCAUGUAGGGAAUAAACACCGCACUAUAACAAGUGUCACGCUAAGAACUGUUACUGAGCUUAAACUUCUUUAGCAGGAAAAGGCGUGUUUCUGUGCAAGCGUAAACACAAAAAGGAAUUGUUCAAUAAAGGAAUAAUACGUACAAAUUAACUCUCUCUUUCUCUCAAAUUGUUCUAUUUUAUUAUAAUCCUCUCAGUGGUUUGGUUUAGGAGUAUUUCACGUGUAUUUUAACUAAUGUCCCCUUCCGUGUUAUUUUCAACGGAACCGAUUUAGGAAGGCUGGUGGCCAUGCCCUUAAAUUCAUGUUUGGCAUGUUUGUUUAUCAAACUAAUAUUGGUUAGAUGCCCAUCUUAUGAAAGAAUGAUGCCAACAACUAGAGAGGCAAGCGGUGAGAUCAGGUAAGAGCCCUGCCCUCAGGGAGAUGUUCGUUUGGAAGGAGAAUGAUACACACAAAGGCCUGGGAUCCAGGUGGAAAGAGCUGGAGAAGAGGGGGUAAG